GUGAGCCGACAGGGAGUGGUGGGGGAAUUCUCCUGGGUUCCCUGAGCCCACACGUGACCCUCAUCCUGCUGCUGGCUUGCAG
RNAcentral lists this microRNA precursor (82 nucleotides) under Mus pahari (shrew mouse). Its description in RNAcentral is "microRNA 7018 (MGP_PahariEiJ_G0007573.1)". The record is from RNAcentral. Lineage: Eukaryota; Metazoa; Chordata; Mammalia; Rodentia; Muridae.